CAGGCCUAACACAUGCAAGUCGAACGAGGUAGCAAUACCUAGUGGCGGACGGGUGAGGAAUACGUAGGGAUCUGCCCUUAAGUGGGGGAUAACCCGGGGAAACCCGGAUUAAUACCGCAUGAUCUCGCAAGAGCAAAGAGGGGGACCGCAAGGCCUCUCGCUUUUGGAGGAACCUACGUCGGAUUAGCUAGUUGGUGAGGUAAUGGCUCACCAAGGCUACGAUCCGUAACUGGUCUGAGAGGAUGAUCAGUCACACCGGAACUGAGACACGGUCCGGACUCCUACGGGAGGCAGCAGUGGGGAAUAUUGGACAAUGGGCGAAAGCCUGAUCCAGCAAUACCGCGUGUGUGAAGAAGGCCUUCGGGUUGUAAAGCACUUUAAGUUGGGAAGAAAAAACUUUACUUAAUACGUGAAGUCUUGACGGUACCGACAGAAUAAGCACCGGCUAACUCUGUGCCAGCAGCCGCGGUAAUACAGAGGGUGCUAGCGUUAAUCGGAUUUACUGGGCGUAAAGCGUGCGUAGGCGGUUUGAUAAGUCGAUUGUGAAAGCCCUGGGCUCAACCUAGGAAUUGCGGUCGAUACUGUCAGACUAGAAAACGGUAGAGGGAGGUGGAACUCCAGGUGUAGCGGUGAAAUGCGUAGAUAUCUGGAAGAACACCGAUGGCGAAGGCAGCCUCCUGGGCCUGUUUUGACGCUGAGGCACGAAAGCGUGGGUAGCAAACAGGAUUAGAUACCCUGGUAGUCCACGCCGUAAACGAUGAGAACUUGACGUUGGUUUGCUUAGCAAAUCGGUGUCGUAGCUAACGCGAUAAGUUCUCCGCCUGGGGAGUACGGCCGCAAGGUUGAAACUCAAAGGAAUUGACGG
RNAcentral lists this ribosomal RNA (865 nucleotides) under uncultured bacterium. Its description in RNAcentral is "bacterial SSU rRNA". It matches the Rfam family "Bacterial small subunit ribosomal RNA", at positions 43 to 916 of the family's 1533-position model. The record is from RNAcentral.